RNAcentral lists this ribosomal RNA (301 nucleotides) under uncultured bacterium. RNAcentral describes it as "partial 16S ribosomal RNA". It matches the Rfam family "Bacterial small subunit ribosomal RNA", at positions 509 to 809 of the family's 1533-position model. The record is from RNAcentral.
CAGUCGCCGCGGUAAUACAGAGGGUGCGAGCGUUAAUCGGAUUUACUGGGCGUAAAGCGUGCGUAGGCGGCUUUUUAAGUCGGAUGUGAAAUCCCUGAGCUUAACUUAGGAAUUGCAUUCGAUACUGGGAAGCUAGAGUAUGGGAGAGGAUGGUAGAAUUCCAGGUGUAGCGGUGAAAUGCGUAGAGAUCUGGAGGAAUACCGAUGGCGAAGGCAGCCAUCUGGCCUAAUACUGACGCUGAGGUACGAAAGCAUGGGGAGCAAACAGGAUUAGAUACCCCAGUAGUCCCUGUCUCUUAUCC